Molecule: non-coding RNA, 97 nt
Organism: Mycena rebaudengoi
Lineage: Eukaryota; Fungi; Basidiomycota; Agaricomycetes; Agaricales; Mycenaceae
Source: the annotation of a GenBank genome assembly
GACCCAGUGGUGUAACGCUCAACACAUCAGCUUCAUUUGGCUGCCAGGAGAUCACACAUAUAAGCUGGAGCCCCCCGUUCGACUCGGGGCUGGGUCA